AUUGAACGCUGGCGGCAGGCCUAACACAUGCAAGUCGAGCGGAUGAAGGGAGCUUGCUCCUGGAUUCUGCGGCGGACGGGUGAGUAAUGCCUAGGAAUCUGCCUGGUAGUGGGGGAUAACGUCCGGAAACGGGCGCUAAUACCGCAUACGUCCUGAGGGAGAAAGUGGGGGAUCUUCGGACCUCACGCUAUCAGAUGAGCCUAGGUCGGAUUAGCUAGUUGGUGGGGUAAAGGCCUACCAAGGCGACGAUCCGUAACUGGUCUGAGAGGAUGAUCAGUCACACUGGAACUGAGACACGGUCCAGACUCCUACGGGAGGCAGCAGUGGGGAAUAUUGGACAAUGGGCGAAAGCCUGAUCCAGCCAUGCCGCGUGUGUGAAGAAGGUCUUCGGAUUGUAAAGCACUUUAAGUUGGGAGGAAGGGCAGUAAGUUAAUACCUUGCUGUUUUGACGUUACCAACAGAAUAAGCACCGGCUAACUUCGUG
Molecule: ribosomal RNA, 484 nt
Filed under: uncultured bacterium
Lineage: Bacteria
Description: partial 16S ribosomal RNA
Rfam family: Bacterial small subunit ribosomal RNA
Source: RNAcentral